AGAAAAGGCAGACAAGAUCAUACAAUAACACUUUUACUUUGAAACUUACCAUUUGAAGGAUUCCUUUAUUUAUAUAUCCUCUUAUCCCAUAUGUUUUUAUCUCUUUUCCAGUCGUGUCGUAGGUAUGGUAUUGCUUUUUAGGCUGAGAUGUAUUAUAUGUGGUUGUGUUCCACACUUUUUCAGGCUUUUGACUCGGAUGAAGCGCAAAAGGAUUGUUCCUGAUUCAUCUGUGAGAAAAAAAAAAAAAAAAAAAGAAUGGUGGAACGUGGAAGGGAAAAAAAUCCUUGUGCUCUCUGUGGGAAAAUAGGAGGCAAUUUCAGUAAUGUUGGGCCCCAACAACACAAUCCUUGUAACGCAGAAAAAUAGGCUGUGACAGCUCAAAGCAAAGCAACCAAUGAGUGGAUAACAGAGAGGGACUCACUGCUUCUUCAGACAGAAUCAUCUGGGGUGGUCCUUUUUUUUUUUCAUUACUACUUACGAUCUCUUUGGCAAAGAGUUACGUUCAGUUUCUUCAAGAUUAGGAUCAUUCUUCAAAUAGUAACCAGAAGGGUAUAAUGUUAUGGAGGAGUAGGAUUAAAAAAGAAAAGAGAGACGGGUGACAAAAGGUGGCCCAGUGAAGAUUGUGCACCCAUUAGAAAUCUCGGGUGUAGGGGUAGGGUCAGAGAGAGAGAUGAUGGUUUGACCAGUCCAGUUCUGAACAAAGUGAAGAAAGAAGUUGGGCUCUUCUCAACUCCAUUGGUGCGGUGGUGGGCAUUGCAGAAUGAGGUGUGUGAACUGAAAACAGAGUUGGUGGAAAUGGUUGGUCUCUAGAAGCAGAGGAGAAGCGACCAGAGAGCACUAGCGGGAGAGUCGUGGGGCAUAGCUUGUCCCAAGCAAAAUCUUGGUCCCAAUAUCAUAUUUUUACCUUUGAACAUUUGUCAGCCAAAGUGUCGAAGGGACGGCUGUGGUGGUGUUGGAAGUGGACUGGUCCACGACUGUGACCUCUCUGCUGACUUGUCUGCUUACACUCUAAUUGGUGCGUUCUUCCCACCUUCACGUGGCUGUGUUCCCAUUAACGUUUUUUUUUUUCUAUCCAAAAAAAUAAAAGUGUGUGUGUGAUGUGUCUGUCUACCUGUCUCGUUUUCUACCGUGUAGAAGAUAUUAUUAUAUGAUUCUGUUUUUCAAAGAAAGAGACUAGUGUUGGAUGA
This is a long non-coding RNA of Arabidopsis lyrata subsp. lyrata, 1187 nucleotides long. RefSeq lists it as uncharacterized. The transcript has 2 exons. NCBI's taxonomy places the organism in Eukaryota, Viridiplantae, Streptophyta, Magnoliopsida, Brassicales, Brassicaceae. The record is from RefSeq and is a predicted model, not a curated record.